RNAcentral lists this long non-coding RNA (1308 nucleotides) under Oryctolagus cuniculus (rabbit). Its description in RNAcentral is "lncRNA (ENSOCUG00000037748.1)". The record is from RNAcentral. Lineage: Eukaryota; Metazoa; Chordata; Mammalia; Lagomorpha; Leporidae.
AUGUGCAGCGAGGAUGGGGGCUGUGCAAUCCUCGGGUCCAAGAGCAGCGGGUUCUCAAUGAGAAACGCCGGAGGGAAGACCCAGCUGUGUUCCAACAGCAGCCAGUGGAGACAUCUGGACCAACGCAGGGACAGCCAAGGCGAGAAGGCAGGAAGCUGUUCUGGGAGAGUGCGAACAAGAAUCUCCAAAUGCGCUUCCACAAAAAGAAAGCUGUUUAUUGAGCUUCAAAGAUCUGACAGGCAUCAGAGAACACCCAGAAGAGCUCCCUGGAGAUGCGGUUGGAAGGCAGACGCAGCUGUGUGCUGUCAGAGAGAAACCACAUUUGCACGUGGAUUGGAUCCCAGGGCAUCAGCGCUCGCCUCCAGUGCUGGUGUUGACUGGCCUCCUCCGAGGGAUGCUGUGACUUUCUGAGAAGUUUCCAGAGGCCCUGCUGUGGACAGGAGAUGAGCGAUUGCUCCGCGAGGGAAGCCAGGCUGGACAUUUUGUGCAUUGCCUGAGUACCUCCUGAUGUGAGGGGACAUCUCUGAGUGCCUGGGAUACUUCAGUAUCUAAUUCACUUGGAAAACACACAAGCAACUGUUGGACCUUGCCCACCAAACCACUCAGGGCGGACGUGGAGGUGGCGGGUGAGGAAGACCAAGAAGGUCCUCAGGGUCCAUCCAGAAGUUUUGUCACAUUCACAACUUUCUCACCUUGUUGUUAUAUUCACAAUUUACAUGUUUUUACUAUGUUCAGCCAAAAACCCAACAGUCUGAGAAAGUGCAUCAAAAUGACUUCUAAGUUGGAUUUUUUUUUUUUUUUGCAUUUUUGAGUUUUUUUGGAGAGUGAGCACAUUCAUUUUGGGUGUUCUGUUUUAACUUUCGGAUUGUCACACUUUUAUACAGGUUUAUGGGAUGCAAUGUGAUGUUUUGAUACAUGUAGAUACUGUAUAAUGAUUAAAUUAGAGUAAUUAGCAUAUGGGCUGGCACUGUGGCGUAGUGGGUGAGGCUGGCACCUGCAGUGCCGGCAUCCCAUAUGGGAAUUGGUUCAGGUCCCAGCUGCUCCACUUCUGAUCCAGCUCUCUGCUAUGGCCUGGAAAAACUGUAGAAGAUGGCCCACGUGCUUGGGCCCCUGUACCCAUGUGGAAGACCUGGAGGAAGCUCCUGGCUCCUGGCUUCGGAUCAGUGCAGCUCUGGCCAUUGCAGCCAUCUGGGGAGUGAGCCAGAGCAUGGAAGACCUCUCUCUCUCUCUCUCUUUCUGCCUCUGCCUCUCUGUAACUCUAUCAAGUAAACAAAUAAAAAAGUCUUAACAAAAAAAAAUAGAGUAAUU